CCUGGCUCAGAACGAACGCUGGCGGCGUGUUAACACAUGCAAGUCGAGUGCGCGCUUGUAGCAUACAAGUGGCGCACGGCGCACGGGUGCGUAACACGUGGGCAAUCUGCCCUCCGAUGGGGAAUAACCCCGCGAAAGCGGGGCUAAUACCGCAUAACAUUCCUUGGACUUAGGUUUGGGGAUUCAAAACCGCAAGGUGUCGGAGGAGGAGCCCGCGCCCGAUUAGCUAGUUGGUGAGGUAACGGCUCACCAAGGCAAUGAUCGUAGCUGGUCUGAAGGAUGAUCACCACACUGGAACUGAGACACGGUCCAGACUCCUACGGGAGGCAGCAGUGGGGAAUCUUGCGCAAUGGGCGAAAGCCUGACGCAGACGCCGCGUGGGGGAUGAAGCAUCUCGGUGUGUAAACCCCUUUCGACUGGGACGAAUGCCCGCAAGGGAGUGACGGUACCAGUAAAGAAGCCCCGGCUAACUACGUGCCAGCAGCCGCGGUAAGACGUAGGGGCCAGCGUUGUUCGGAAUUACUGGGUGUAAAGGGUUCGUAGCGGUGCGGUAGUUGGGAGUGAAAUCUCUGGCUCAACCCAUAGCUGCUUCCAAACUGCUGUGCUCUGUGGGAAAAGCGCGUGGAAUUUGCAGGUGUACCGUGAAAUGCGUAUAUAUCGGGAGGAACACCUUGUG
Molecule: ribosomal RNA, 676 nt
Filed under: uncultured Neomoorella sp.
Lineage: Bacteria; Bacillati; Bacillota; Clostridia; Neomoorellales; Neomoorellaceae
Description: bacterial SSU rRNA
Rfam family: Bacterial small subunit ribosomal RNA
Source: RNAcentral